AGCCCAGAGCCUGAAUCAGUGUGUGUGUUAGUGGAAGCGUCUGGAAAGGCGCGCGAUACAGGGUGACAGCCCCGUACACAAAAAUGCACAUGCUGUGAGCUCGAUGAGUAGGGCGGGACACGUGGUAUCCUGUCUGAAUAUGGGGGGACCAUCCUCCAAGGCUAAAUACUCCUGACUGACCGAUAGUGAACCAGUACCGUGAGGGAAAGGCGAAAAGAACCCCGGCGAGGGGAGUGAAAAAGAACCUGAAACCGUGUACGUACAAGCAGUGGGAGCACGCUUAGGCGUGUGACUGCGUACCUUUUGUAUAAUGGGUCAGCGACUUAUAUUCUGUAGCAAGGUUAACCGAAUAGGGGAGCCGAAGGGAAACCGAGUCUUAACUGGGCGUUAAGUUGCAGGGUAUAGACCCGAAACCCGGUGAUCUAGCCAUGGGCAGGUUGAAGGUUGGGUAACACUAACUGGAGGACCGAACCGACUAAUGUUGAAAAAUUAGCGGAUGACUUGUGGCUGGGGGUGAAAGGCCAAUCAAACCGGGAGAUAGCUGGUUCUCCCCGAAAGCUAUUUAGGUAGCGCCUCGUGAACUCAUCUCCGGGGGUAGAGCACUGUUUCGGCAAGGGGGUCAUCCCGACUUACCAACCCGAUGCAAACUGCGAAUACCGGAGAAUGUUAUCACGGGAGACACACGGCGGGUGCUAACGUCCGUCGUGAAGAGGGAAACAACCCAGACCGCCAGCUAAGGUCCCAAAGUCAUGGUUAAGUGGGAAACGAUGUGGGAAGGCCCAGACAGCCAGGAUGUUGGCUUAGAAGCAGCCAUCAUUUAAAGAAAGCGUAAUAGCUCACUGGUCGAGUCGGCCUGCGCGGAAGAUGUAACGGGGCUAAACCAUGCACCGAAGCUGCGGCAGCGACGCUNNNNNNNNNNNNNNNNNNNNNNNNNNNNNNNNNNNNNNNNNNCUGGAGGUAUCAGAAGUGCGAAUGCUGACAUAAGUAACGAUAAAGCGGGUGAAAAGCCCGCUCGCCGGAAGACCAAGGGUUCCUGUCCAACGUUAAUCGGGGCAGGGUGAGUCGACCCCUAAGGCGAGGCCGAAAGGCGUAGUCGAUGGGAAACAGGUUAAUAUUCCUGUACUUGGUGUUACUGCGAAGGGGGGACGGAGAAGGCUAUGUUGGCCGGGCGACGGUUGUCCCGGUUUAAGCGUGUAGGCUGGUUUUCCAGGCAAAUCCGGAAAAUCAAGGCUGAGGCGUGAUGACGAGGCACUACGGUGCUGAAGCAACAAAUGCCCUGCUUCCAGGAAAAGCCUCUAAGCAUCAGGUAACAUCAAAUCGUACCCCAAACCGACACAGGUGGUCAGGUAGAGAAUACCAAGGCGCUUGAGAGAACUCGGGUGAAGGAACUAGGCAAAAUGGUGCCGUAACUUCGGGAGAAGGCACGCUGAUAUGUAGGUGAAGUCCCUCGCGGAUGGAGCUGAAAUCAGUCGAAGAUACCAGCUGGCUGCAACUGUUUAUUAAAAACACAGCACUGUGCAAACACGAAAGUGGACGUAUACGGUGUGACGCCUGCCCGGUGCCGGAAGGUUAAUUGAUGGGGUUAGCCGCAAGGCGAAGCUCUUGAUCGAAGCCCCGGUAAACGGCGGCCGUAACUAUAACGGUCCUAAGGUAGCGAAAUUCCUUGUCGGGUAAGUUCCGACCUGCACGAAUGGCGUAAUGAUGGCCAGGCUGUCUCCACCCGAGACUCAGUGAAAUUGAACUCGCUGUGAAGAUGCAGUGUACCCGCGGCAAGACGGAAAGACCCCGUGAACCUUUACUAUAGCUUGACACUGAACAUUGAGCCUUGAUGUGUAGGAUAGGUGGGAGGCUUUGAAGUGUGGACGCCAGUCUGCAUGGAGCCGACCUUGAAAUACCACCCUUUAAUGUUUGAUGUUCUAACGUUGACCCGUAAUCCGGGUUGCGGACAGUGUCUGGUGGGUAGUUUGACUGGGGCGGUCUCCUCCUAAAGAGUAACGGAGGAGCACGAAGGUUGGCUAAUCCUGGUCGGACAUCAGGAGGUUAGUGCAAUGGCAUAAGCCAGCUUGACUGCGAGCGUGACGGCGCGAGCAGGUGCGAAAGCAGGUCAUAGUGAUCCGGUGGUUCUGAAUGGAAGGGCCAUCGCUCAACGGAUAAAAGGUACUCCGGGGAUAACAGGCUGAUACCGCCCAAGAGUUCAUAUCGACGGCGGUGUUUGGCACCUCGAUGUCGGCUCAUCACAUCCUGGGGCUGAAGUAGGUCCCAAGGGUAUGGCUGUUCGCCAUUUAAAGUGGUACGCGAGCUGGGUUUAGAACGUCGUGAGACAGUUCGGUCCCUAUCUGCCGUGGGCGCUGGAGAACUGAGGGGGGCUGCUCCUAGUACGAGAGGACCGGAGUGGACGCAUCACUGGUGUUCGGGUUGUCAUGCCAAUGGCACUGCCCGGUAGCUAAAUGCGGAAGAGAUAAGUGCUGAAAGCAUCUAAGCACGAAACUUGCCCCGAGAUGAGUUCUCCCUGACCCUUUAAGGGUCCUGAAGGAACGUUGAAGACGACGACGUUGAUAGGCCGGGUGUGUAAGCGCAGCGAUGCGUUGAGCUAACCGGUACUAAUGAACCGUGAGGCUUAACCUU
This 2625-nucleotide ribosomal RNA is filed under the name Escherichia coli. RNAcentral's name for it is "bacterial LSU rRNA". It matches the Rfam family "Bacterial large subunit ribosomal RNA", at positions 296 to 2925 of the family's 2925-position model. The record is from RNAcentral. Lineage: Bacteria; Pseudomonadati; Pseudomonadota; Gammaproteobacteria; Enterobacterales; Enterobacteriaceae.